CUGAGCAUUGAUUGAAACUGAAACUUGAAAUCCUUCAGUGCCUCUGCAGAGCCUACGGUGUAAACUCCAAGAUCCUUGAUAUGAGUUACAAGAUGCUCUUUUGAGUUGGCAUUUGUCUCUUCUGGGCCUACUCUCCAUUCACUCCCCACCUCACAUGUAACACCUAGUAGCACUUAGUUCCUGGAACACAAUUAACUGCUUCAUGCCUAUGGGCAUUUGUUCAUGCUUUUCCCUUUUGAUUAGAAAUAAACCUCUGUAGGCC
Molecule: long non-coding RNA, 262 nt
Filed under: Homo sapiens (human)
Lineage: Eukaryota; Metazoa; Chordata; Mammalia; Primates; Hominidae
Description: non-protein coding lnc-FANCM-1:1
Source: RNAcentral